RNAcentral lists this ribosomal RNA (465 nucleotides) under Vreelandella stevensii. RNAcentral's name for it is "partial 16S ribosomal RNA". It matches the Rfam family "Bacterial small subunit ribosomal RNA", at positions 338 to 795 of the family's 1533-position model. Lineage: Bacteria; Pseudomonadati; Pseudomonadota; Gammaproteobacteria; Oceanospirillales; Halomonadaceae. The record is from RNAcentral.
CCUACGGGGGGCAGCAGUGGGGAAUAUUGGACAAUGGGGGGAACCCUGAUCCAGCCAUGCCGCGUGUGUGAAGAAGGCCCUCGGGUUGUAAAGUACUUUCAGUGAGGAAGAACGCCUGGUGGUUAAUACCCAUCAGGAAAGACAUCACUCACAGAAGAAGCACCGGCUAACUCCGUGCCAGCAGCCGCGGUAAUACGGAGGGUGCGAGCGUUAAUCGGAAUUACUGGGCGUAAAGCGCGCGUAGGUGGCUUGAUAAGCCGGUUGUGAAAGCCCCGGGCUCAACCUGGGAACGGCAUCCGGAACUGUCAAGCUAGAGUGCAGGAGAGGAAGGUAGAAUUCCCGGUGUAGCGGUGAAAUGCGUAGAGAUCGGGAGGAAUACCAGUGGCGAAGGCGGCCUUCUGGACUGACACUGACACUGAGGUGCGAAAGCGUGGGUAGCAAACAGGAUUAGAUACCCCUGUAGUC